CGGGUGAGUAACGCGUGGAUAACCUGCCGUAUGCAGGGGGAUACCAACUGGAAACAGUUGCUAAUACCGCAUAAGCGCACAGCACCGCAUGGUGCAGUGUGAAAAGAUUUAUCGGCAUACGAUGGAUCCGCGUCCGAUUAGCCAGUUGGCGGGGUAGAAGCCCACCAAAGCGACGAUCGGUAGCCGGCCUGAGAGGGCGGACGGCCACAUUGGGACUGAGACACGGCCCAAACUCCUACGGAAGGCAGCAG
This 251-nucleotide ribosomal RNA is filed under the name uncultured bacterium. RNAcentral describes it as "partial 16S ribosomal RNA". It matches the Rfam family "Bacterial small subunit ribosomal RNA", at positions 103 to 354 of the family's 1533-position model. The record is from RNAcentral.